Molecule: non-coding RNA, 2208 nt
Organism: Zonotrichia albicollis (white-throated sparrow)
Lineage: Eukaryota; Metazoa; Chordata; Aves; Passeriformes; Passerellidae
Source: RefSeq, a predicted model, not a curated record
UGUGAGGAUAAGGAGGAGUCAGUACAUAGAGGAGCUGCCUAUGAGACACAUGAGGGAGCAGGCAAAGUGACCAAUUUCUUAGCAUGCCACUCCAGCUUGUGAUUCUUUUUAUCCACUGAGUUCAAUGAAAGUCCAACACCUCAAUUAAAGGUCUCAGUUUCAUGGCACAUCUGAGCAUCUCAGCUGAAGGAGCAAUUCACCUUUUGGUAUAAGAAGCAGUCUGCCCAAGCCCUACAGCACCACAAAACUCCUUACCUGGGAUCACAUGCAACUGCAGCAAUACUGCAGCUAUGCCUGAGAGGUGAAAUGCCUCAGCCCAUCUGGAAAGAAUCUCUGACUCGUCUGAGCAUGGGACUGGCAGCAAGGAUGAUCCCAAUUUCUUUUUGGGACAAACCAGUUCACUUUUCUGGCUCACUUUUCUAUGUGAUAAGGAACUACAAAAGCAUGUAUGCUUGACACUCAUUUUUAGAUAGAAUUCUAUCAUGAAAACCUCUGCUUGCCGAUACAAAUCUCUGCCUUUACUGCUACAUUAUUUCUUUUAAGAUGUCUUACAACAAGAAAUAACCCUGAAAGCAUUUAUUUCUGUCCUUCAUCGAACUCAAACACCUCUCCAGAUAAGGAAUACAUCUGAGAAUUGAUUUCAUGUUAAGACUUGAUUGACAUUCAGGACAAUGCAAUAAUUCACUGAAUGGCCUUUAGAGGGAAGCAGAUCCAAAGAAUCCAUGGCAAGAUCAAAAGCAAGCUUUUUGCAAAAACAGGCUGCCAGAUCUUGUUAAGCAAAACCUGAAGCUGAGACACUUGGCUCAUUCUCUGUCUCUGUGUAGUAUUGGGUGAGAUUUGAACACCCCUCACAUUAUUCCAGUCUGAAACCUCUCAUACACCCGGGCUAUUUUGUCUUAAUCUACUCAUGUCAGGAGACCUUGCUGCUUUGUUUCCUGGGGAUUCUUCCUUUAGCCUUCAAAAGCUACCUUGAAUGUAGGAGAUGGGCAUGGAGAACCACAGGAGCAUCUGGGACACCAUGCAAGGGGUACUUAGCAAGUCUGGAAAGAGAUACCUUCCUAUCUGAUCUUAUAAGCUAUGAGUUGAAGUAAAUAUGUGACCUGAUGCUUCCUGACUUCUGUCUGCUCUCUUGUGAGGCAUCAGACAAAAAUGUUGUCUGAGAAAUGCCUACAUGCAGGUACAGAGCCAAAGUCUCAGAGGGUGAUUUCUAAACACUACAUAUUUGAAGGGCUGUGGUAUGUGUGACCUUGUAAUUCCACCUGUUUGAAGCUUUUUUUUUUUUUUUUUUAACACAACAACGUGUUUUAAAGGCAGAAAAAGUAUUUUCAAGAUCUUUGCAGAUCAGAAAUGACAGCAAAUUCUCAAUGGGUAUAUCACAGAAGCUUGGAUAAAUGGCCAACUCAUCUCAUUACUAGUCAGAUCAUUAGGACCAGACUUGUGUCUACAUCAAAACAUGCUUUCCAAAAGAGAGAAGAACAGUGUGAGAUGAAUGAACUAUACCAAAGGGGAAAAUCCAUAUUGGUUUAUGGUAUAGAGGUCUUGAAAUAUGCAAUUAAGAGCACAUUAUUGAUGAGGACGACUAUCUUUAUUACUUCCUCAGUUGUAUCAACUGACAACCUCCUGAAAUAUUUUAGAAUGGACAGCAUGAGGAAUCUCCUCCACUGAGACUUUUUGCCUUCGUGGUGGUUACUGAGAAUCUGUAUGAUCAAGACAAUUUUUAUACAGUUACAAAAAUAUUCCCUACACAAAUUCUUCUCAACCUUGGAUUUGUUGUUUGACUAGAAUAACGUGUAAAGACAUCUUUCUCCUAGAAAAUGUCUGUUGCCUAAUGUCCUCUCUUCAAGAAACUCCCAGUAAAGAAUUUCUUCUUUAGAUCUGUCUAAACCUGCCCUCCAUCAGCUUAAAGCCAUUCCUCUUCUUACUAUCACUGCAUGCUCUUGUGAAAAGUCCCUUUCCAGCUUUCCUGUAGGCCUCCUUGAGGUACUGGAAAGCUCCGCUAAGGCCUCCCUGGAGCCUUCUCUUCUCCAGGCUGAACAACCCCAGCAGUUUCAUCCAGUCUUCAUAGAAGUGUUUCAGCCUUCUGACCGACUUCGUGUCCCUGCUCUGGACUCAUUCCAGUAGGUCCACAAUUCCCAUGGGCACUGGAGAGAAGUGGCUUCACCAGGCCCCCAUCUUCUGCUGUCAGAUGUGGUUUCCUACUCUGUGGUC